RNAcentral lists this transfer RNA (72 nucleotides) under Spirochaetales bacterium. Its description in RNAcentral is "tRNA-Gly". It matches the Rfam family "tRNA". Rfam says of the family: Transfer RNA (tRNA) molecules are approximately 80 nucleotides in length. The record is from RNAcentral. RNAcentral also lists the same sequence under 4 other names. Lineage: Bacteria; Pseudomonadati; Spirochaetota; Spirochaetia; Spirochaetales.
GCGUCUGUUGUAUAAUGGCUAUUACCUCAGCCUUCCAAGCUGAAGAUGCGGGUUCGAUUCCCGUCGGACGCU